This 102-nucleotide transfer RNA is filed under the name Wolfiporia cocos MD-104 SS10. Its description in RNAcentral is "tRNA-Pro". It matches the Rfam family "tRNA". Rfam says of the family: Transfer RNA (tRNA) molecules are approximately 80 nucleotides in length. Their secondary structure includes four short double-helical elements and three loops (D, anti-codon, and T loops). The record is from RNAcentral. Lineage: Eukaryota; Fungi; Basidiomycota; Agaricomycetes; Polyporales; Phaeolaceae.
GGCUUGAUGGUCUAGCGGUAUGAUUCCUUCUUAGGGUAAUGUGAUAUUUAAUCACGUGGUUCCAGCUGGAGGAGGUCCCGGGUUCGAUUCCCGGUCAAGCCC